RNAcentral lists this long non-coding RNA (885 nucleotides) under Homo sapiens (human). Its description in RNAcentral is "STXBP5 antisense RNA 1". The record is from RNAcentral. Lineage: Eukaryota; Metazoa; Chordata; Mammalia; Primates; Hominidae.
GCAGUAGCCACUGGAUUUGCAGCAGAAACACUCUGCUACAGAACAAGUGUCUUGGUUCACAGCAAAGAGGACAAAGAAAACAGCAAGUUUUAGGGGGUUGAAUCCUGGAUUCCCCUGGCAAACACCAUUCUACUUUCCGUCUCUAUGAAUUUGACUACUCGAAGUACCUCAUGUGAAAUGUUGGUGCCAAAUGAACUUUUCUGGUUCUUCUGAAUAGACCCACAAAAGAAGAGAUACUGAGAUCAUUUGCUCCAGAAGAAGCUGGUUGCCAUGUCUUGAGGACAGUAAACCCUCUGGGGAGGUUCCUGUGGUAAGGAACAAGGGCUCCUGGCAAUAGCCUCUGAGUGAGCCACCUUGAAAAUGGAUUGUCCAGCCCCAGUCAAGCUUUCAGAUGACUGUAGCUCCUGCCAAUGUCUUCACCACAACCUCAUGAGAUCCCAAGCUACAACCACUCAGAACUUCAUCUUUUGGGAAGCACCAGGGAGAGCUGCCUGUGCCUGGCAGAAGCUGCCCAUGCCCCACUGAUACCCCACAGUACUUCCUGUUCUGCUUAGUACUCCUGCUUCUUUCUACAAACAACUGUGAUUCUCUACCUGGGAGCUUCCUCUGGCCACAGGAGCCUGCUCACCUGAUUGGGACACCCUAGCAGUACUGAAUGAAGUGCAUUCAGAUUCGAUGUGUAUCCUGUCUCUGGGAAGCCCCAUGCUCUGCUCAUCUUAGCAUGAUUACUAAGGUACACUCUGCCCUUGCAAGGGGAAGGCCCGAGAUUUGCUGCUGGCAGGCUCAGUGGGAGUUGGAUGUUUUAUGUAACCUGAUUGUGGAUAUAGAUCAAUUCAUGCUUUUCAAUUCAGUCCUCUCUCUAAUAAACUGCUGUCAUAAGCCCCA